GGUUAAGCGACUAAGCGUACACGGUGGAUGCCCUGGCAGUCAGAGGCGAUGAAGGACGUGCUAAUCUGCGAUAAGCGUCGGUAAGGUGAUAUGAACCGUUAUAACCGGCGAUUUCCGAAUGGGGAAACCCAGUGUGUUUCGACACACUAUCAUUAACUGAAUCCAUAGGUUAAUGAGGCGAACCGGGGGAACUGAAACAUCUAAGUACCCCGAGGAAAAGAAAUCAACCGAGAUUCCCCCAGUAGCGGCGAGCGAACGGGGAGCAGCCCAGAGCCUGAAUCAGUGUGUGUGUUAGUGGAAGCGUCUGGAAAGGCGCGCGAUACAGGGUGACAGCCCCGUACACAAAAAUGCACAUACUGUGAGCUCGAUGAGUAGGGCGGGACACGUGGUAUCCUGUCUGAAUAUGGGGGGACCAUCCUCCAAGGCUAAAUACUCCUGACUGACCGAUAGUGAACCAGUACCGUGAGGGAAAGGCGAAAAGAACCCCGGCGAGGGGAGUGAAAAAGAACCUGAAACCGUGUACGUACAAGCAGUGGGAGCACGCUUCGGCGUGUGACUGCGUACCUUUUGUAUAAUGGGUCAGCGACUUAUAUUCUGUAGCAAGGUUAACCGAAUAGGGGAGCCGAAGGGAAACCGAGUCUUAACUGGGCGUUAAGUUGCAGGGUAUAGACCCGAAACCCGGUGAUCUAGCCAUGGGCAGGUUGAAGGUUGGGUAACACUAACUGGAGGACCGAACCGACUAAUGUUGAAAAAUUAGCGGAUGACUUGUGGCUGGGGGUGAAAGGCCAAUCAAACCGGGAGAUAGCUGGUUCUCCCCGAAAGCUAUUUAGGUAGCGCCUCGUGAAUUCAUCUCCGGGGGUAGAGCACUGUUUCGGCAAGGGGGUCAUCCCGACUUACCAACCCGAUGCAAACUGCGAAUACCGGAGAAUGUUAUCACGGGAGACACACGGCGGGUGCUAACGUCCGUCGUGAAGAGGGAAACAACCCAGACCGCCAGCUAAGGUCCCAAAGUCAUGGUUAAGUGGGAAACGAUGUGGGAAGGCCCAGACAGCCAGGAUGUUGGCUUAGAAGCAGCCAUCAUUUAAAGAAAGCGUAAUAGCUCACUGGUCGAGUCGGCCUGCGCGGAAGAUGUAACGGGGCUAAACCAUGCACCGAAGCUGCGGCAGCGACACUAUGUGUUGUUGGGUAGGGGAGCGUUCUGUAAGCCUGUGAAGGUGUGCUGUGAGGCAUGCUGGAGGUAUCAGAAGUGCGAAUGCUGACAUAAGUAACGAUAAAGCGGGUGAAAAGCCCGCUCGCCGGAAGACCAAGGGUUCCUGUCCAACGUUAAUCGGGGCAGGGUGAGUCGACCCCUAAGGCGAGGCCGAAAGGCGUAGUCGAUGGGAAACAGGUUAAUAUUCCUGUACUUGGUGUUACUGCGAAGGGGGGACGGAGAAGGCUAUGUUGGCCGGGCGACGGUUGUCCCGGUUUAAGCGUGUAGGCUGGUUUUCCAGGCAAAUCCGGAAAAUCAAGGCUGAGGCGUGAUGACGAGGCACUACGGUGCUGAAGCAACAAAUGCCCUGCUUCCAGGAAAAGCCUCUAAGCAUCAGGUAACAUUAAAUCGUACCCCAAACCGACACAGGUGGUCAGGUAGAGAAUACCAAGGCGCUUGAGAGAACUCGGGUGAAGGAACUAGGCAAAAUGGUGCCGUAACUUCGGGAGAAGGCACGCUGAUAUGUAGGUGAAGUCCCUCGCGGAUGGAGCUGAAAUCAGUCGAAGAUACCAGCUGGCUGCAACUGUUUAUUAAAAACACAGCACUGUGCAAACACGAAAGUGGACGUAUACGGUGUGACGCCUGCCCGGUGCCGGAAGGUUAAUUGAUGGGGUUAGCGGUAACGCGAAGCUCUUGAUCGAAGCCCCGGUAAACGGCGGCCGUAACUAUAACGGUCCUAAGGUAGCGAAAUUCCUUGUCGGGUAAGUUCCGACCUGCACGAAUGGCGUAAUGAUGGCCAGGCUGUCUCCACCCGAGACUCAGUGAAAUUGAACUCGCUGUGAAGAUGCAGUGUACCCGCGGCAAGACGGAAAGACCCCGUGAACCUUUACUAUAGCUUGACACUGAACAUUGAGCCUUGAUGUGUAGGAUAGGUGGGAGGCUUUGAAGUGUGGACGCCAGUCUGCAUGGAGCCGACCUUGAAAUACCACCCUUUAAUGUUUGAUGUUCUAACGUUGACCCGUAAUCCGGGUUGCGGACAGUGUCUGGUGGGUAGUUUGACUGGGGCGGUCUCCUCCUAAAGAGUAACGGAGGAGCACGAAGGUUGGCUAAUCCUGGUCGGACAUCAGGAGGUUAGUGCAAUGGCAUAAGCCAGCUUGACUGCGAGCGUGACGGCGCGAGCAGGUGCGAAAGCAGGUCAUAGUGAUCCGGUGGUUCUGAAUGGAAGGGCCAUCGCUCAACGGAUAAAAGGUACUCCGGGGAUAACAGGCUGAUACCGCCCAAGAGUUCAUAUCGACGGCGGUGUUUGGCACCUCGAUGUCGGCUCAUCACAUCCUGGGGCUGAAGUAGGUCCCAAGGGUAUGGCUGUUCGCCAUUUAAAGUGGUACGCGAGCUGGGUUUAGAACGUCGUGAGACAGUUCGGUCCCUAUCUGCCGUGGGCGCUGGAGAACUGAGGGGGGCUGCUCCUAGUACGAGAGGACCGGAGUGGACGCAUCACUGGUGUUCGGGUUGUCAUGCCAAUGGCACUGCCCGGUAGCUAAAUGCGGAAGAGAUAAGUGCUGAAAGCAUCUAAGCACGAAACUUGCCCCGAGAUGAGUUCUCCCUGACUCCUUGAGAGUCCUGAAGGAACGUUGAAGACGACGACGUUGAUAGGCCGGGUGUGUAAGCGCAGCGAUGCGUUGAGCUAACCGGUACUAAUGAACCGUGAGGCUUAACCUU
This 2905-nucleotide ribosomal RNA is filed under the name Escherichia coli. Its description in RNAcentral is "23S ribosomal RNA". It matches the Rfam family "Bacterial large subunit ribosomal RNA". RNAcentral also lists the same sequence under 1 other name. The record is from RNAcentral. Lineage: Bacteria; Pseudomonadati; Pseudomonadota; Gammaproteobacteria; Enterobacterales; Enterobacteriaceae.